Molecule: non-coding RNA, 353 nt
Organism: Xyrichtys novacula (pearly razorfish)
Lineage: Eukaryota; Metazoa; Chordata; Actinopteri; Labriformes; Labridae
Source: the annotation of a GenBank genome assembly
GUUCAUGAAGGGCGGAGGAUUCGUACGAUGUUCUUAUUUUCAUUCUGUGACUUAAGGAAAUCACGCUAUGUGAAGAAGUUUAGAGCCUCUAAAUCCUCUGCAGUUCAGCUGCUUCUCAUUCAAACAGUAGGUCAGUGAUUUGCCUUUGAUCUCACAGCUGUUUAGGAUGCAGUCAUUAACGAGACACACACACACACACAUUCUUGUACUUGUUGCUUUAUGAGGUCUACCUUGCAGUUCAGCUGCUUGUACACACAGUUAAUAUGUGUCUGCUUCGCCACCUAUCUCCACCCACAAACUUUGAGCUACAGAAACCAUUCUGGGCUUCUAAAAUUCAGCUCAUUGAAGAUAUU